Molecule: ribosomal RNA, 329 nt
Filed under: uncultured eukaryote
Lineage: Eukaryota
Description: partial 18S ribosomal RNA
Rfam family: Eukaryotic small subunit ribosomal RNA
Source: RNAcentral
CCCUUAGAUGUCCUGGGCCGCACGCGCGCUACACUGAGUGUCUGAGAUACGAGUCUGCCUGGUCCGGCAAGGUCUAGGUAAUCGCUAAAAGACACAUCAUGCUUGGGAUAGAUUAUUGCAGAUAUUAAUCUUGAACGAGGAAUUCCUAGUAAGCGCAAGUCAACAGCUUGCGUUGAUUACGUCCCUGCCCUUUGUACACACCGCCCGUCGCUACUACUGAUUGGAUGUUUAAGCGAGGUUCUCGAACUGCUAGCGACUUAGCUUCGGUGAGGUCGCAGUGUGGGAAGUGAACCUAGCUUUGGUGUCUAGAGGAAGUAAAAGUCGUAACA